This is a long non-coding RNA of Cebus imitator (Panamanian white-faced capuchin), 2434 nucleotides long. RefSeq lists it as uncharacterized. The transcript is spliced from 2 exons. NCBI's taxonomy places the organism in Eukaryota, Metazoa, Chordata, Mammalia, Primates, Cebidae. The record is from RefSeq and is a predicted model, not a curated record.
GAACUCUGGUGGGAGGGGAGGUGCGGUGGACUGGGGGGAUGGGUGGCUGGUGUGACCGACUGGUGGCUUGCGGGGGUUGCCUUUCCCCCGGGAACAUGAUGUUUGGGAACAUAAACGCUGGGAGAGAGUGGUGGUUGGAUGCGGGUGGGAGGGAGGCCCGCCCUGCGGCAACCGGAGGGGGAGGGAGAAGGGAGCGGAACAUGCUCAAAACCGGACGGAGCCAUUGCUCUCGCAGAGGGAGGAGCGCUUCCGGCUUGCCUCUUGUCGCUGAUUGGCCGCUUCUCCUCCCGCCGUGUGUGAAAACACAAAUGGCGUAUGCUGGUUGGAGUAAAGCGCCUGUCAGUUAACAGCGUCGGGAGUGCGCAGCCGCCUGGCGACCCUCGUGUUGCCCCCUGGGUGGGGCGGGUAGGUUGCUCCUUGACAGCAGGACAAUGCUUAUGGCUUUAUCCGUUGCCUAAGCUCAGAGAGGUCUUCGAGGUCAAAACUAUUUUCAUGAUAGCAAGAUGCUUCCCUUUUUCACUCAUUCUCUCAGUGUUCAGAGGCUACAUGAUGUGUGAUGACAUCCUCAUUGAUGUUAAUGAAUGGUGCUAUACUUGAAUUUUCUAAGGUGUGCUUAGGUAGGUUUAGGUAUGCAUACUUUUUAGAAAUUAGUUUUUUCCCCGUUUCUCAUUUUUAGAAAUAACUCACUAGAUUAUGCCUUCAGUAAUUCUUGCAACCUCAAUAUUGUGCAAUUGUUAUUUUAAAAUACUAUAUUCUUCGUGCCUAAGCAUGAACAUAAGAAGUACAUUUUGUUGUGUUGUUUGCAGUAGUUUAAAUAUUUUCCCAAAAUACCCAAAAUUAAAAAUUUUACUUUAGAAUGUAAUAACUUUAUUCUAAAAUAAAUCUAUUUUUCUUAUUUAAGAAUGGAUCAUUGGCUUAAAAAGACUACCUCUUAUCUACUUCUCGGCUAUACCAUCUGUAUACUAAAUACUAGAAAAGAUCAAUUUGGAAAGACUAACAAAAAACUAAUAGAAAUAUGAAACCUAUCUUUCUGCUUUGGAGAUAUUUACCUUACCAUAUCUGCAGUAGAAUAAUUUUGUUCUUUUGUCUUUCUGGAGAUUGAGGUUUUGCUAUGUUGUCCAGGCUGUAGUGCAGUGGCUAUUCACAGGUGCCAUGAUAGUGAACUACAUCCUGAAACUCUUGGGCUCAAGCGAUCCUCCUGUCUCAGCCUCCUGAGUAGCUGGAACUAUAGGCAUGCACCACCAAGCCUGGGCUUUUAAAAAAUUUUUAAAAAACAAUUUUUUAGACAGGGUCUUGCCAUCUGGUUCAGGCUAGUCUUCAAGUCCUACCCGUGAGUGGUCUUCUUGCUUUGGACCUCCCAAAAUGUUGGGUUAACAGGUGUGAGCCACUGUACCCAGGCAAAAAUUUUUUUAGAGAUAGGAAUGGAAUGAUUUUUAAAUAGUGUUGGUGCCACCUGUGUUGUGGCAUCAUUUUGAAACCAAUCCUAAAGAUGGCUUUUUUUUGGUAAGGUACUAUUUUUUUUCUUCUUCUUCAAAUAGUUUACCUUUUUUUUUUUAAAUUGCAUUUUAGGUGGUACUGAGUAUUUUUUAAUACAGGUAUGCUGCUACUGAAAAGAAAAACCAUGUUUGAAGCUAGAAAUGUUCGAACAAGUUACCUAAGUAACUUAAAGGAUAAGUUACUUUGUAAUACUAUAGAAACAUACACAAUAGCUGAAAAACUUUAAGUCUCACAUGGCUGUCUCUGCUAGAUAAAGUGUAAGUAAAAGAUCACAGUAGUGCUACUGUUGAGUGAUACAGCAAUUUGUCAUUAAAGAUGUGUGUGCAGACAUGGAUUGAGUUAAUAUCUAUAGAAGUAUACAUUUGUCCCAUGCCGGCUAUUUGCCAAGAACACCAAAACCCUUACAUAAAAUGGCACUGUGUUUGCAUACAACUUAACACAUCUUCCCAUAUACUUUAAAUCAUUUCCAGAUUUUUUAUACUUCAUACAGUGUAAAUGCUGUGUAAAUAGUUGCAUUGCGUAUUUAUAUUUGUAUUGUUAUAUUUUUUUCUCAAAUAUUUUCAAGCACAUUUGGUUCAAUCUGCAGAUGGAGAACCUGAGGCUAUGGACUGACUGUGUCUAUACUUUAUAAAUGGAUGUGUGUGUGAACGUGGCUGGACUUGUUAUUUGGCUUGUAUUUGCCAGGCAUCAGCAUCAACUAAAGAUACUCUUAUGUGAAAGCUUGGCAAGAAACACGUCUUGAAAUAACGUGAGUGUGGAAUAACUUUUUAAAAUCUUAUGGUGUAUCCUAAACUAUAUGUUGACAUUUGUAAGAAUGGUGAUAAGGCAACAGUAGGUAAAACUUCAGGCACCUUGGCAGAAACUGAGGUGGCACCAAAGUAUAAGAUACCCUUCACUGCCAUGCAUUUGUGGUGUGGACCCCCACAAAAGAAAAAAA